Serinus canaria (Common canary) is the source of this 5606-nucleotide long non-coding RNA. RefSeq lists it as uncharacterized. NCBI's taxonomy places the organism in Eukaryota, Metazoa, Chordata, Aves, Passeriformes, Fringillidae. The transcript is spliced from 3 exons. The record is from RefSeq and is a predicted model, not a curated record.
CCUCCCUCCCUCCCUCCCUCCGCACCACCCGCCCCUUCCUGCGCCCGUCUUCCCCCGCAACCGGGACGCGACGGGACGGGACAGGACGGGACGGGGAGAAAUAGCCGAGUCACGGCAUAGAGCCCGUAAGGGCAGGGCGGGGGAACUACCGCCCGUCUCGGGCAGGGUACCUCGCGCUCCGUCAGGGACGGUCUCCAAUGUCAGAUGCCUUCCUCCUUUCAGGUGGGGUCUUUUUCCCCCCCUCUCACCUCCUCUUGUCAUAGUUAGCGGGCUCGGGGGUGGGAGGUCGAGGCUUUUCACACGCUGAGUGGCUCCUGGGGACCGCUCUGUGUUUUGGGAGCUUGCUGAGAGCCCCCGCCCGCCAUUUUCUCUCCCUCAGGAACCUCUGUUGGCGGACCCUGCGGUUGCCUCAUGCCACCGCACCUUAUUGCUUCAAGCCGGUUACUUUCCUUACUUCAGGGAAAAAUAACACAAAUUAAGUUCCCUCUUUCGUGGCCAUGCAGGGCAAAGCUUUCGGGAUUUUGCCCGCCGUCCCAAGUGAAGGCGUAGAGAUAGACUCGGUGCUGGAGAAGGUCUCACGUAGCUUUGUGUGCUGCCGGACACAAAUCAUUCUUAGCUUUAACCAACACCACAGGUAAAGUGUUUGGCGACCCUCCAAGCUUUCCUCUAUCAGUCAGAACUAGUUGGGAUUUUAAAAUUUCAGAAGAAAUUUUAAAACGCAAUUAUAGAAUGUCUUGCAGUCACUUGACUUCCAGCAUUUACUAAGCGCGUACUGACAGUUUUAAGUUGUUGCAAGAGCUAAUUAUUUAGCAUCGGGAUAUUUCAAGGUAACAUCCACUUGCUGCCUGUUUAUGAGAACAUGAAUAUGGUGUAAAAUAUUAAGGAAUACUAAGCUAUAUUUAAAUUAAAGACCAAGAAUGGUAUUCAGUGGUCCUGUUUUAUUACCCGUCUAUUUUAUCAUAUCUAUGCCCAGCUGGAGGUUCUGUGGGAUCAAUCCUGCUGUGAUGUCAUUGUGUGGGAUGCUGUGCAGGGCAUCCUGCACUAUUCCUUUCAUAACACUGUAAGGAGCACCCAGUGUAUUGUCAGUCCAACAUCUGAAGUGCAGCAUUGCAUGACCUGGAAACACAAUAUAAAUAGGGCAUUGACAAGUCAGAAUUAGCCAUGCCCGGAGCCAGGGACUCAAGAGCAGGCCUGCAAAAGAAAGCUGGGUUGUGACAGGCAGACAGAAAUUCCUACGCACAGGGAAAAGCUACAUAGGGCAAGGUUACUCUUCAGCUCCUAUUUCUGACUCUUGUACUGACCAUAGACAGAUUUUCAUUAAUUUUACAAGAAAUGUGGUGCUAGUAACUAAAAGUAUUAUUUCUAUCUGUUUUACUAGAGAAAUAAUCUCUAUUAUUAUUAGAAAAUAAGUGUAAAUUGGAAAUGUUCAAGGCCAGACUGGACAGGGCUUGGAGCAACGUGAUCUAGUGGAAAUUGUCCCUGCCUGUGGCAGGGUUUGGAACAAGAUGAGCUUUAAGGUGCUUCCAACCAGUCUGAUAUUCUGUACCACAGAAACUUCUCAAUCAAUAAUUGCCAUCUUUUGCAGACUCCUCUUUAAAUGUUACAGUAGAAAUGGGAACUUUGUUGGAGUUGUCAGUGUCCUGAUUAGAAGCAGAUGGCAUUAGGAAUAGCUAAAAUGGUAGGUGUUCUUUGCAACCUUGCUUUAAUGUUACAGAAGCUAGAAAUGGUCAGGGCCUGAAUCCUGUUACUUCCUAGCAAGUGAUUGUACACUGUUCUGAUGUUCUCUUCAGUUUGGGUUUUAAUAUUCCAGUCUGGGGACUUCUGCCACUUUGUCUUUUGGUUCCUGUGUUGUGGAAAGGCUUCAUUUUUCAUGUAGUUUAUGUUUUCCCUCAACAUUUAAUUGCAUUGCCAGUAGGAACAUGCUAACAACAAGUUUCAGUAGCACAGCAUAGGUUACCACAGUAAUACAUAGUUGAUAUUUAAAGAAGUGGGAUAUGAAAUCACAUAUUCUUAUUAUGUAACACUGCACAGAUGAACACUUUAAUUCUCAAACCCCACUUUAGACUUCCAUCAGUCAGGCUUUUCUAAUGUUUAUUCUUUGUUAUGUUUUCUGAAAGUUCAGGAAUUUGUAGAUGAGCUUGUUCUCUUGUUGGGAUCUGGUGCCACUAGAUAACUUAGAUUAUUUUUAGUGUCUGCCUUCCCCAGUUACGCAGCAUUUCUUCCUGUGUGAUACACUGCUUUUAGCGUUUGAAACACAAAGUGUUAUUUGUCUGCAGGAUUACUGUUUUCAAAUAUCAUUCCAGCUUAUCAUUAAAUCAGCUAUAACUCAUCUCCACUUAUGUACAUUGUUCUUUCUUUUAUGUUCUUAACAGCCCACAGGAAUUAGUUUUUAUUCUACCGCAUAUAGUCUCAAUUUUCAAAUCCUUUCUCUCUUUUUCCUAUCCAAAAGGAGAUACUGUGUAGGCAUGGUUCUAAAAUCUGCCAUUUGUGGCCACACUAGUAAUGUUCCUCAAAUUAUACAUUAAAAAUGACUCCCCAUUUUAGCCUCUAUGACUGAGAGAAAUACCUAAAAUACCAGUUUAACUGUCAAAUGGUAUCAUCUCACCAUUCCAUUUUUAUAUUACUCCUUCCAUAUAAAACUGCUCUAGAACUGUGGUACCAGGAUAGCUGUCUUUAAAAAAAGAAAUGUGUACUUUUUAAACGUCUUGGCAGUGUUUCAGUUUGCUAUUUUAGUUAGCAAUGUGACUUGUAAAGCUGAUAAAGGAAAAAUUCUCAUUUUGAAACCUGUGCUAUCAGAAUGGAAGGCAAGAAUGAAAUACUUUUCCAGGUGGCUGCAAGCAUGUCCUUGUUAUUUCACACAGUGAAAAUUCUAAACCCCAGAUAAUAAAAAAGAACAUCCUUAGCACUUGUAUGUGCUUGACCAUCAUGUUAACAAAACCUAAAUUCCUGCACUUUUAUAAAAUUCCAUUGACAAAAGCAGAAGACUAUCCAUCCAACAAUCAUUGAAAAACAAAUCCAGUGUUCAUUAGAGAGCAUGCUGAAUGUCAUCCAAGCCCAUGGGAUACAGAUGCAACUAUUAGAGCUAGAUUUAUAUGCUUAUUUUAAAUAAUAAAAUAAUAAAAUAAUAAAAUACAGCCUUACACUGUGGACAUGCUCAGUAUCUCCAACAUAACACACAAGGCUUUCAUUUCCCAUGUAUAAAAAAAGCCUAGGGGAUCUAAAGGAACGUGAAGUCCAUAUGUGUAAAAUGAGUGCUCCUCCUUGAACACUUCUCUCCCAAGCAUUCACAAAUUCACAGUUUGCACAAAUAAAUAAUACUAUAUAACCCACCAAACAUCAGAUUUGUUUAAAAAUUUCUUUACAGUUUUUUGAUGCUGUUCAUAAUAAAUUUGUAGAAUAUCAGUACAGUUAUUAAUGUUUGUGUUUUCCGCCUACUUGGAAUGCAAAAGUGUAUGUAAAUAUUCCCUGUGACUGCAGCUGCUGUGGAAAAAGAAGAAAUUAUAAGGAAGGUAAGAAACUUUGUUUUGAUGAUUUCUCCUUAGAGGUUUCACUUCUUUAACCAUCCCAUCUCAUCAUCCUCCGUGUCCCACUGGUGUUGUGGGAUGCAGAAUGCUGAUUCAGGAGUACGUGCCCCAGAUUUUCCUCCUUAGUGCCUUUUUUGCUUACCUGUCAUUGCCUGCUUUGCUCCAAUCCCAGACCUUCUAGUGUCAUUCAGCACAUCUCCUCUCUUUUUGGGAUAAAAAUUUUGAAGCAACAGAAAGUAGAAGAAUUUGCAGCAGAGCAAGUCUGUAGUUCUACUAGAUAGAGCAAAGCAGAGCUAGUACCACACCACAUCCUUAUCACUCCAGUGCCCUCUGCCAAAGUAACCAUCUCCUUGGCUUCUGAGUCCCCUUGGGCAGGGGCAGGAGCCUCUGCCAAGUGCCAUAAGCUGCCACCUCUUUAUCUUGCACUUGACUUCCUUGCUGUAUUUCCUUUUCUAUUCUGUCUCAACAGACAAGCAGAAGUAUGACCCCUUAUUUCUUUUCCUUGCUCCAGUGGUACUUAGGUUGAAAUUUGUUCUUUUCCUUCAUAGCAUUGCUGCAUCACAUUUUACAGCAGCCUCUUAAUGAGCUUAGGAAGGUAACAUAUAUGGGAUGAUAAUUAAGGCAAUUAUAUUUUAUAAGAAUUCCAGUGCAUGUGUGUAUAAAGCUGAAAACCACCUAAAUAAAUGUAAAUUAUGUUCCUUUCUGGCAGAUUUACACAUGUACUAUAAAGCUGGGAGAAAAUGAGAGACAGUCUUUUAGGAAGCAACUGGAAGUUUCUAAACAAACACAUGUUCACUGACAGUGAGUAAUUCAAGCAGUGUGUAUAGUUGCAAUGGCCUGUUAACCAUCCAUACCAAAACAAUCAGUUCACAGCUCACAUGCUGCCUGCAGGACACCCAGUGAACUCCAUUCCCCAGGAAAGAAGGGAAGAUGAUGUCAAGCUUUGACAAGAUGAAGAUAAUUCUGAGCUUUGAAUAACUACCCAUUACAUUUCUGAAUAUUAAAAAUAUGCUGGAAAAAGAAAAAUUUAAAUGUAAAUGUGGUCCCUUCAGAAGCAUCCUACUACUAUUUUACUAGGUUAGCUUAAAAAGCCUUUUAAGAACAAAAGCAGGUUUAAAUAAAUUAUGCAAAAGAAACUGAGAUUAGGUAACUUCUGUAGGGGAAAAGCACUAUUUUAAAAACAUUAUUUAAACCUUCAUUUUUUAUACUUCCAUACCAAUUUCAUUUAACACAGAAAAACUCUUCCUUAAGGAAACAUUUUAUGUCACAAGAAAACACCACAUUCAGACAUAUAGAUGAUCAAAACUGAACUCUGAAAUGAACUAAGAUCUUAAUGGUUUAGAUCUUUCAAAUAAAUGGGAAAAAACCCCACAGAACUUCCUGUCAAAAUAUUUGCAGACAGAUUCUCAUAACUUAUAUCAAUGAUAAAUAGUUCAAAUUGGUAAGGAACUGGCACUUUCUUCCUUAUGAAUUUACUUAAGAAACAGAUUGGGCAAGAAGAGGGGACAACUUAGAAGCAAUACUGGCCAACAACUUUCUGUCAAAACAUUAGUUAAUUCUGAAUCAGGCUGCCACUUGUUACCACUUAUUGAAGUGAACAGAACAGCAUCUAAUUCAGUGAUUUAGAAUUAAGAUCUGUUACCACCAAUUCAUUAAAUAACACACAGCUCUUUUUCAUUGUACUAAUUCAGAGAGCUUCUCUCAGUGAGUAUCAAAUCAGGGAUCCUGCCUCUGGCACUCAAGAAUAAGGGCACACCAGCACAGAGCUGAGUACAAUUCAAGUACCUGACCAGUUUAAUAACCUUGCCAGAGUGGCAGACAUGCUUAUUUAUUUAAGUUUUAAUACAAAUCUUAGCAGUAAAUCAAUGUUAAUGGCCAGAUACCUUAGAAAGGGGAAACCCAAGGCAGUAAAUGAGCACAAGAGCAGGGAAAAGGGAGGGACUGAAUUCCCAGCACUGUGCCAUGGCUGUCGCAGGAGUGGUGGGAGCUGUCCCUGGCCAGAGAACUUGGAAAAAUAAAUGACAUGGGCUCUUUUAUUUAAAAGAGAAAGUAUAAAGAAUUCUAGUAAUAUACUAUCAGCUA